RNAcentral lists this long non-coding RNA (1561 nucleotides) under Anas platyrhynchos platyrhynchos (common mallard). RNAcentral's name for it is "lncRNA (ENSAPLG00000026598.1)". Lineage: Eukaryota; Metazoa; Chordata; Aves; Anseriformes; Anatidae. The record is from RNAcentral.
AUGAGAACAUCAUUUACAAGAGCUGCUCCCAGCACCCCUCCAGCAGCUUUGUGCCACAUGCAGCUCUGCUUAGCUGCUUUCCCAUGGGGACUGUGUUUUUCCUACAUGCAAUCUGCAGCAGAGCGCAUCAAACCACUGUUUGGGUCAGACACCUCAUCUAAAGAACCUGCUCUUACUGAGGUGUCGCAUCCUUCCUGUAGUGUCAAUGGCAUGCCACGAAACUGUGAAGAUCUGCAGGUCUUCCCUAUCUACGGGAUCAUCUGGCAAAUACUUUUGCUUUGCUGGUUAUGCUAGAGACGUGCUGUUUCCAUUUCAUUGAACCUAUCAGAUCCCAGACUACUAGUUGUGGGUUUUUUUAAUUUCACUUUACACUACGGUUGGCUUGGAUCUGAAAACCUCAGUUAAAAUCUCAAUCUUCCUGUCUAUGCUGCCUGACACCAAGCAGGAAAGGCUAUUUCAGGCACUGUCAAGUAACGAUGGUGAAGACAGUCCUGAAUUCCUUGCUGAAAGCAGGCUCUAAGCCGUGUUGGUUGAAACCAGAGAAAUCUGUUAGAAAGCCGUGAGAAUUGUUUGCUGGGAAGCAGAACGAUAGGGGUGGGGACAAGGUCACAUAACCACUGCUGAUGUCUCAGUUCUCGAACUUUUGGAUGUUUGUGAACUCAAUAUAGAAAUCCAAGGGUCAGGUUCAGUGGUAAUAUGUGACGUGGGAGUGGUGGGCUGCUCUGCCAUGCCGUUGCUUUCCAGGUCACUAAAAUGAGCAGAGUCAGCAUGUGAUAGUGAAAGGGAGAUGAAUGCUAGAGCAUCUUUGUGUCCUAUAAAUUUGACUAGUUCACCAGCACUUCAUAAGCACAUGGUUAGUUCUCAUCUAAAUCAAAAACUAAUCACAGUUUUUCAGCUCCUUCCCCACUAUGCAUUGCAGUAGCUUCAGAGUCCUCAGUUCUAGAAACAGUUCUUAUCCUGGCCAUCCUGUGACCAAGGAGAGCAACGGAGCUGGUCUGGUAGGUUCCAGAUCCUAGCUGCUGGCCCAUGAAAGGGCAGAAAAGUCAAGCUUUACUUCAGAGAUCUUUAUUAGGCUACAGUUCUGAUUAGUUGUUGCUGAACAAGAAUACAAGGCUUAUUAGAAAAGUCAUCCUUUCAAAAUACCCCCAGAGCUGAGCAAGGUAAAAAGAGCAUCUACCAAACAGGGACAAUCAUCAACAUGUAGGCUGUUGGCUACAGCAUGCAGAAUAGAGGUACAUCCUGGUCCUGCUCCCUAAUAUUCUCCAUUAACAGCCCACAGGCAUCCUGGGGAAGGAAACAGAACAGACCAAAGGCCGGGGAACAGACAAAACAGGAAAAAGGACAAGCACUCAAGACCCCUUGCAAUGAAUCUGAUUUAUUGCAAUGCAUCCCACCUUCUGUCCAAAGCUUUAUCAAGUGCCCUCCUGACCCUCUGUCCCUCUUCCUCUCUGCUUUGAACCUGGUUGCCCUGUAUGUUGCCUAGCUGUGAGUUCUGUCUCAGCAUUCAUAACCAUCCCAUUUUAUCAAAAAUAAAUAAAUAAAUGAGCUUGUUCUUUAACCA